RNAcentral lists this transfer RNA (84 nucleotides) under Clostridium sp. CAG:1219. RNAcentral describes it as "transfer RNA-Leu(TAG)". It matches the Rfam family "tRNA". Rfam says of the family: Transfer RNA (tRNA) molecules are approximately 80 nucleotides in length. The record is from RNAcentral. Lineage: Bacteria; Bacillati; Bacillota; Clostridia; Eubacteriales; Clostridiaceae.
GCGGGUAUGGCGAAAUGGCAGACGCGCCGGACUUAGAAUCCGGUGCCGAGAGGCGUGAAGGUUCAAGUCCUUUUACCCGCACCA